UCAAUCAUCCAAUCUACAAACAAAACUAUUUAUCUAUCUUUUUCGAAGUUCAUCUUCACCACCAAAUCAACCAUGUCUCCCUGCUCCUGCAACUGCUGCUCCGGCAACUGCAACUCUUGCUCUUGCAACAGCUGCACCGUCAGUCUCC
RNAcentral lists this small RNA (148 nucleotides) under Aspergillus wentii DTO 134E9. Its description in RNAcentral is "A. fumigatus sRNA Afu_254". It matches the Rfam family "A. fumigatus sRNA Afu_254". The record is from Rfam by way of RNAcentral. Lineage: Eukaryota; Fungi; Ascomycota; Eurotiomycetes; Eurotiales; Aspergillaceae.